UACGAAGGGGGCUAGCGUUGCUCGGAAUCACUGGGCGUAAAGCGCACGUAGGCGGCUUCUUAAGUCAGAGGUGAAAUCCUGGAGCUCAACUCCAGAACUGCCUUCGAUACUGGAAAGCUCGAGUCCGGGAGAGGUGAGUGGAACUGCGAGUGUAGAGGUGAAAUUCGUAGAUAUUCGCAAGAACACCAAUAGCGAAGGCGGCUCACUGGCCCGGUACUGACGCUGAGGUGCGAAAGCGUGGGGAGCAAACAGG
Molecule: ribosomal RNA, 253 nt
Filed under: uncultured bacterium
Lineage: Bacteria
Description: partial 16S ribosomal RNA
Rfam family: Bacterial small subunit ribosomal RNA
Source: RNAcentral